UACGGAGGGGGCUAGCGUUGUUCGGAAUUACUGGGCGUAAAGCGCACGUAGGCGGCUUUGUAAGUUAGAGGUGAAAGCCCGGGGCUCAACUCCGGAAUUGCCUUUAAGACUGCAUCGCUAGAAUUGUGGAGAGGUAAGUGGAAUUCCGAGUGUAGAGGUGAAAUUCGUAGAGAUUGGAAAGAACACCGAUGGCGAAGGCACUUUACUGGGCUAUUACUAACACUCAGAGACGAAAGCUAGGGUAGCAAAUGGG
This 253-nucleotide ribosomal RNA is filed under the name uncultured bacterium. RNAcentral's name for it is "partial 16S ribosomal RNA". It matches the Rfam family "Bacterial small subunit ribosomal RNA", at positions 524 to 776 of the family's 1533-position model. The record is from RNAcentral.